GACGAACGCUGGCGGCGUGCCUAACACAUGCAAGUCGAACGGAGCUAUGCGCUGAACGGAGAGCAGCUUGCUGAAGGAAGUUCUUGUAUAGCUUAGUGGCGGACGGGUGAGUAACGCGUGAGCAACCUGCCUUUCAGAGGGGGAUAACGUUUGGAAACGAACGCUAAUACCGCAUGAGACCACACUUCCACAUGGGAGAGGGGUCAAAGGAGCAAUCCGCUGAAAGAUGGGCUCGCGUCCGAUUAGAUAGUUGGGGGGGUAACGGCCCACCAAGUCGACGAUCGGUAGCCGGACUGAGAGGUUGAACGGCCACAUUGGGACUGAGACACGGCCCAG
RNAcentral lists this ribosomal RNA (336 nucleotides) under uncultured bacterium. RNAcentral's name for it is "bacterial SSU rRNA". It matches the Rfam family "Bacterial small subunit ribosomal RNA", at positions 28 to 334 of the family's 1533-position model. The record is from RNAcentral.